AAUUUUGGACAAUGGGCGAAAGCCUGAUGGAGCAACGCCGCGUGAGUGAAGAAGGAUUUCGGUUCGUAAAACACGGUUGUAGGGGAAGAACAAGUACAGUAGUAACUGGCUGUACCUUGACGGUACCUUAUUAGAAAGCCAUGGCUAACUACGUGCCAGCAGCCGCGGUAAUACGUAGGUGGCAAGCGUUGUCCGGAAUUAUUGGGCGUAAAGCGCGCGCAGGUGGUUUCUUAAGUCUGAUGUGAAAGCCCACGGCUCAACCGUGGAGGGUCAUUGGAAACUGGGAGACAUGAGUGCAGAAGAGGAUAGUGGAAUUCCAAGUGUAGCGGUGAAAUGCGUAGAGAUUUGGAGGAACACCAGUGGCGAAGGCGACUAUCUGGUCUGUAACUGACACUGAGGCGCGAAAGCGUGGGGAGCAAACA
Molecule: ribosomal RNA, 422 nt
Filed under: uncultured bacterium
Lineage: Bacteria
Description: partial 16S ribosomal RNA
Rfam family: Bacterial small subunit ribosomal RNA
Source: RNAcentral